RNAcentral lists this microRNA precursor (76 nucleotides) under Choloepus hoffmanni (Hoffmann's two-fingered sloth). Its description in RNAcentral is "miRNA (ENSCHOG00000015629.1)". The record is from RNAcentral. Lineage: Eukaryota; Metazoa; Chordata; Mammalia; Pilosa; Megalonychidae.
GGGAACUUGUUAAAAUGCAGAUUCUGAUUCUGAAGGUUUGGGGUGUAGCCUAAGAUUCUGCAUUUCUAACAAGCUC